UCAGAUGUGCAAACUCUAUUUUCUUUAGAUGUUAGAGAUGCUCUAGGAGGUACUCUACAUUGAGGGCCAUCAAGAAUUAUUCCCAAGUGAGUGGAACGAGCAGGGUGGCCUACUUGAGUUGCCACCAGCGGUCUAUCUCUCCCACCUGCAUGUAGUUGGCAAGUAUGACUCUUUGUUCGGGAAUCACCCUAAAAGUCGUGAAGACAUUCUCUAUCUUAGCUAACCAGUACUCAGCCUCUUCAAAGGAGGAUCCCCCUACAAAAGUAAAUGUGUUUAGUUUUUUAUACCUCUCAAUGUAGUAUGGGUCCAUCAUGGGAGAAACUGGGUCUCCUGGAAGAGACACU
RNAcentral lists this long non-coding RNA (344 nucleotides) under Carica papaya (papaya). RNAcentral's name for it is "long non-coding RNA (CPAP_LNC012922)". Lineage: Eukaryota; Viridiplantae; Streptophyta; Magnoliopsida; Brassicales; Caricaceae. The record is from RNAcentral.